This 447-nucleotide ribosomal RNA is filed under the name uncultured bacterium. RNAcentral describes it as "partial 16S ribosomal RNA". It matches the Rfam family "Bacterial small subunit ribosomal RNA", at positions 329 to 792 of the family's 1533-position model. The record is from RNAcentral.
UUCCAGACUCCUACGGGAGGCAGCAGUAGGGAAUAUUGCUCAAUGGGGGAAACCCUGAUGCAGCGACGCCGCGUGAGGGAAGACGGUUUUCGGAUUGUAAACCUCUGUCUUUGGGGACGAAUUGAGACGGUACCCAAGGAGGAAGCUCCGGCUAACUACGUGCCAGCAGCCGCGGUAAUACGUAGGGGGCAAGCGUUAUCCGGAUUUACUGGGUGUAAAGGGGGCGCAGACGGCAAUGCAAGCCAGGAGUGAAAGCCCGGGGCCCAACCCCGGGACUGCUCUUGGAACUGCAUGGCUGGAGUACAGGAGGGGCAGGCGGAAUUCCUAGUGUAGCGGUGAAAUGCGUAGAUAUUAGGAGGAACACCGGUGGCGAAGGCGGCCUGCUGGACUGUGACUGACGUUGAGGCCCGAAGGCGUGGGGAGCAAACAGGAUUAGAUACCCUUGUA